GGGUGCUUGGAUCAAUCUGGUUCAAGCAUGUCGCAAGUGCCAGAAAGAGAAAAGCCCCGGAAAAUAUAUUGUAUAUUAACCGAGGCGGACUCAAAUCCCAAGAAAUUUGAUUCUGCCUCCAUUUUUAUCGGAGUGCAAGAGGAAAUGAAAAAAUA
RNAcentral lists this antisense RNA (155 nucleotides) under Proteus vulgaris. RNAcentral describes it as "sok". It matches the Rfam family "sok antitoxin (CssrC)". From Rfam's summary of the family: Also identified in Shigella as CssrC. The record is from RNAcentral. Lineage: Bacteria; Pseudomonadati; Pseudomonadota; Gammaproteobacteria; Enterobacterales; Morganellaceae.